Long non-coding RNA from Salvelinus sp. IW2-2015, 3049 nucleotides. RefSeq lists it as uncharacterized. Lineage: Eukaryota; Metazoa; Chordata; Actinopteri; Salmoniformes; Salmonidae. The record is from RefSeq and is a predicted model, not a curated record.
GAAGCUGGUUCCACCAUUGGGGUGCCAGGACAGAGAAGAGCUUUGACUUGCCCUCCUAUAGGGGUGGGAGGGCCAAAAAAACAGAGGUGUAGGGUUUGAGUAUAGCCUGAAGGUAGGGAGGGGUACUUCCUCUUGCUGCUCCGUAGGCAAGUACAGAAAGGCAGUGAUCUGAGCUGUUAGUUUUUUUUUUACCUAUGGCCUGAACAACUGGGUUAAAUACACAGCUCCUAACUCUGAUCACUACCUCCUGGAAUUCCUCACCACUGAUCACUUAAAGAUGGGAGUUGAGGAAUAAUUGUCUCAAUGUGUGUAUAUGCAUGUUUGGGUGGUGGGUCAUUAUUUUAUUCAAAUGUAGUGCAGGAAUGCUUUGCUACGGGAAAAUGUUUGCAUUAACUCAACAUCAGUCCCUAUGGCAAGUCUGUAACUGAUGUCUUGCACAUAAGCGAUUUUGAAUUAGCUGAUUUGCUUAAACUCCUCAGUCACUUUACGAAACAUAUGUCUGUAGAAGUGCUCGCAACGGAAGUGGUCCAUCACACAGGAUUUGACACAUUAAAUACAAACUAUUUAACCGUAUUUAACACAACCCCACGUUUGUGUUGCUUCAGUAGUGUGUAAAUGCUCAUUCAUCGUUACGCCUUGACUAUUUGAUGGGAAGUUUGAGAGAAGGGCAUUUCCCAUCGUAAGAAUGCUAGGGAUGUUGAGUUUUAGGUCAUACAGCCAUCCCACUAGCAUGCCAGUGUCCGGCUCGGUAUAGGGCUGUAGGAAAACACUUGAUUCCCAUAUACUGAGAGCAACUGUUUUUUUCCCCUUACAUGUACUUAGUGCUCUGAUUCUUGACCUUUUGUUUUAAACACCAAAUCAUGGGGGUUAUUCAUUAGACUUAGUAGUACAUUUACCACCAUUUUAUAUUUUUUCAAUUCAGAAACAUGGGUAUUCUACUGUAUUUUUCCAAUAGAGGAAAAUAGGUGAUUUACUGGGGGAAAAUGUACUCUUUGUGUUAACAUCUAGAGUAUAAAGCAUGUAUACAUCAAUCUAAUCAGGAAUUCUUAACUGCUUUUACAUUCUACAUAUGGCUGUUGCGUUUUGUGAACAACCCCCAUUUUGUUUUAAGGAAGGAUUUCAUUUUGUGAAGUUGCCACUUUCAUCAUCUACUGUGUUUCCUCCCAAUGUGCUACCUUCCUUCCCAUCCAUGCAGACUUUCUUUUUGGUGGUGGCAUCACCGAGGGACCCCCGAUGUUAGUAAGGAAAACAAAACCACAAACUUUUUCACAUCGAAGUGAAUCUCACCACAGCCUCUCACUGUGUGUGGACAACUGUCCCCUGCAACCUAUCACCUCUGCUUCAAAGACUGUAUACAAUCUGAAUAUUUUGAUGCUCACUUGUUGUAUUUUUUUCUUGUUUGUAUUUUUAAUUUUAUUUUUGGUUUGUAAAUCUAUUUAAAACCAAAAUAAAGAUCUUUCUUAGAGGUUUGAGCUGUUUCUUAUAGCAGGAGUGAAUGGAUAUAUUCUAAUAGAUUUUAUAACUGUUUAUGGUGUAAUAUAUUUUCAUUGAAUAAUGAUCAUUGAAUACGAUUCUUAGCUCGCAAUUAUUCAUUAAAUACAUUUGUUUUGUGUUCUCUUUAUAGAUACUGUGGGAACGUAUUACCUGAGACAAUGGGAGUCUAUGACUCUGGGAUAACUCUGAGACACUUGGGAAUGUAUCACUCAGGGAGAACUCUGAGGUAAGACUGUUGUGUGUGCUAUUCUCAUCUCGAGUGUCAAAAGAAGCCACUUAACUUUAGAUUAACCUCAACACUCAGGUUGUUGCCCUUUUGGCCCUACUGGUUCUUGCACCCUUGUGAUGUCAGGUGACAAGGAAAGUUGUUGAUGAGAUCUGUAACCUGCAGUCACCCUGAAAGAUAGUUUAUCGCCACAACCCUAACAUGGUUAUUCAAGUAAUAGCCUUGUGUGAAGAGAUUUAUAUAGGCCUGUAAAGGGCUAUUAUGUAUUUUUUACCUCUAGGGGGCAACAUUACCUUUCACUAGAAUCUAGAGUAAAUAAGUGGGGCUGUUGUCAGCUAUAGUGUCGGUUUGCACAUGGUUUCAAUCUGCUGACCAACUGAAACCACAUUAGAUUCAACAGUAAACAUCACACAGACGGACAACUGAACUUUCCACCGUCAUAUCUGUUGGCAGGUGGUCCUCAUUCACUUACAAAAUGGCUCCUCUUGCAGUAGUGUGAGCAACAACAUCAAAAUAAUGCGUACAUCACCGUUAACAAAUAGCACACUGUAAAGUGAAACAUCAGACAGUUUCAGUUUUGAUUAUCUGAUGGUGUUCUAUGUCAAUGCCCAGGCUGCCUCACCUGUUGGGCAUUGAGGAAGAAGACCUCAUCCUUGUCUGAUUAGAGAGAACAUGGGCCUACUGGUCCAUUUUAUAUCUUCAGAACACACCCAGAAAGAGAGAGGGAGUCGCAUGACUCCCAAAAACACUUCUAGCAUUUUGAGGACUUAGUGACAGAUUGAAAUUUACUGGGGGGGUGUCAUUAAAAAAGAAAUGCACUCCCCUCCCCAACUAAAUUUGUUUUUCACAUGACCCUCCCCUUGUACUGUAAAAUAAAUUCAACACCCUCCCCCCUCAUAGAGUUAACAAAAAAAUGUUUAUGACCACAAAUAACUGUAGCGACCCUGUGUUUAUAAACGGAUAUCUAAUUCGCUACUGUAGCACAGUCGAGGCACAGCCGACACUGAUCAGCAAGGGGGAAAUCAGAUUUUCAACAUUUUGAUGGCAUAUUUAUAAUUAUAUAACAGAUAGAUAAUUUACGGAACUGUUGUCUGUAAGCCUCUGGGACCAAUUCGUAAGCCCGAAGGAUAGCAGUUUUAACAGUGUCCUAAUUUGAACUCUGGUCGAAAGAGAAAGCGGCGUACACUUUCUGAGCUUUUCCCACAAAAACACUUUGGAGGAGCAGUGACCAAAUAUACUACAUGGCCUUAAGUUUAAGCCUGGCUCACAGUCGGUGUUCCAAUUAAUCCCAAAGGUGUUCGAUGGGGUUGAGCUCAGGGCUCUGUGCAG